GGGAAGCCGGUGCGAAUCCGGCGCUGACCCGCAGCCGUGACCCGGCCCGCCGAACGCGGGACGGCAGCCGGAAUGCC
Molecule: non-coding RNA, 77 nt
Filed under: Streptomyces sp.
Lineage: Bacteria; Bacillati; Actinomycetota; Actinomycetes; Kitasatosporales; Streptomycetaceae
Source: RNAcentral